UAGAGGGAAGGGGAAAAAAAGUAAAACUUAGUAAAAUGCAAUGUGCAAUAAUUGUUUCACAUUUUUUUUCCCAAAAUCAGCAACAGAGAAUGUUAAAAACAAAUGUGUUUCUCCAUUUGCUCAUACAGCAUCUCCCUCUAGCCUAUUAUUUCCUGUUAGACACAGCCCAGAAAACGAAUAGAGACAAGUCCUGGCUGGGUCUGGGUUCAGAAACAUAAUAGAAGGAUUCAUCUAAACUGUCAGCCACUGUGGAGGAAGUGAACCUUCUAGAUCCUGCUGACUUAUACAAUGAGUUUUGUGUCGAACAUCAGACAAAAGGGCUGGCUGGUGAAGGUGGCUGUUGUCUGGAAAGUCCUCCCAGCUCUCCUCUAAUUAUGUCAUAAGGACUGGAGGCCCCUUAGCCUGCUUGUGAUAACACGCAAGGAAAUAUGGGCCAACUCUUCACAUGAGCACAAGAUAUUUCCAUGCUAGCCUUUUGCAAGUAACAGCAGAGAGAGCUCUGUGCAGUUUUUGCUGGAAUGCCUAUGAAUUACUUGAGUCAUAAUCGUAAUCUAAAGAGUUGUCCAUUUGUUGACUCUUUUGUAUUUGUAUUGGUAGAACUGCCACUAUCAAAACCAAGAUCACUCUUUGGGAAGAUCUUUAGCUGUCUUUAUAUCAACUUCUCUGGAGUUUAUGUGAUUUUCCAGAAAAUUUCCAAGGCAUAGUUUUGUCCCUAAGUCCCAUGAAUAUGUAAUAUUUUGUGUCUCUCUAUUAAAAUAGCACUUUUUGUGCAUUCAAUUAAC
Chlorocebus sabaeus (green monkey) is the source of this 782-nucleotide long non-coding RNA. RefSeq lists it as uncharacterized. NCBI's taxonomy places the organism in Eukaryota, Metazoa, Chordata, Mammalia, Primates, Cercopithecidae. The record is from RefSeq and is a predicted model, not a curated record.